This is a long non-coding RNA of Ctenocephalides felis (cat flea), 375 nucleotides long. RefSeq lists it as uncharacterized. The record is from RefSeq and is a predicted model, not a curated record. The transcript is spliced from 5 exons. Lineage: Eukaryota; Metazoa; Arthropoda; Insecta; Siphonaptera; Pulicidae.
AGUGAGAGUUCAUUUCCAUCGUGGCGAUUGCUGGAAGAAGACAACGAGACGUCGUCGAACACGGACGAGCGGGCCUUACUCUUCGCUGCCUGUGGAGUACGUGCGAUCUGCGAGCGUCACCUGGUGCCGGAUGAAAUCACAUGGAGGCCACAUCAAAUCACAUGGAGGCCAUACCAUAUCAAGCAAAUUGUUGAGUAUCGAAUGGCCAAGUAUCGAGUGAAAAUUGAACACUGACUCACUUCACCGGGAAUCGCUCUGAAAAUAAUUUAAAAAGUCCUUUCAACUACUGCUGCUCUGCACGCUGACUCACUUCACCAGGAAUCUUUCCAGAAACAUGUUACCAGUCCUUUCAACUACUGCUGCUCUGCACACUGA